UCUGUCAUGCAAGGGGAUUGACCUGGCUCUGGGGAGUAUCUGCACAUCUGUGAGAAACUCUUUUCCUCUUUCACUGUGUCUUUGGAAGAAAAGAAUGGAGGACAGGACUGGGUGAGGAAGAAGGUUUGACUGAAAACAAAGGCAAGGUCAGAGUGUGGCUCCACUGUGUGGGCUCCCAGCAGAGCAGGAGGUAGCUGGCGUGAAAGCCUGGUCUGUACCAUAAAGAGGCAUGGAGGACACCUGAAAAGGAAGUUCUAACAAGAAAAAAGAAAGUUGGAAGGACCCAGAGGUUUAAGGCGUAACCCUUUGGAAACAAGAGGUCAGCUAAAUCUGUAUUAAAGGCUGCUCAAGGAGAAUUUAGCUGGCAACAGAUUUACUUAAAUACCAUCACCUGGACCCUUAUCAGUAGAUGCAGCUGGGGAAAACCUCAGGGAACUUGUCUGGCCCUUCUUAUGCUUCUAGGGUGCUGAUGGUGUUCAUUGAGUUGUGUUCCCCAGGGAACUGCAGUAAUGUAGUGAGAUAAUAGUGAACAAGAAGAAAAUAAUAAAGAAAAUGAGCAUUGUGGAGUUAAACAGAAAAACAUUCUAUGAUUCUCCAAGGGUGGAAAAGUAGACCAGAUUAUUUCCUCAAUUUAUUCAGAAGAGGAAAAAAGAAACCUACCAUAGAACAUUGGCUACCAACUGUUUUCUUGGAUAUCUUCAGGGAAAAAUGGAGAAAAGGUCCCUAUCAAUAGCACACCAGUUUUACAUACUGGCUGUACAGCCCAGGAAAUUUCCUGUUAAGAGGGAAUAAGAUCACAACAAAUGAUGCAGCCCACAAGCACAAAGUGCUCAUGGGAGAGGAAGCAAAAGGUGCUCCAAAGAUGUCCACAUAGACAAAGCACCUCCUUGCCUCCC
Molecule: long non-coding RNA, 896 nt
Organism: Pezoporus flaviventris
Lineage: Eukaryota; Metazoa; Chordata; Aves; Psittaciformes; Psittacidae
Exons: 5
Source: RefSeq, a predicted model, not a curated record